Molecule: small RNA, 589 nt
Filed under: human gut metagenome
Source: RNAcentral
AAUCGGUGGUGCAGUAUUCUAGUCAGGUUUUAUCAUUACUGAAGACGGGGUUAAAAUACCGUUAAAGGGCAUAUCGAUGAAGUUUCUUGUGUUGGCUUUCGUUGCCCAAACGAGGGCUGAUGCUGGGAGUUAAGAUUUAUGGGGGUUCCGUAACGGCAUACGGAGGGCUGCCCAUUUAUCGUGGAGACCAUAGACGGUGGCGAUCGGAAUGAUUUGAUCUGUUACUGCUAUGGGUGAAACCUGUAAUGCGGCGAAAUGCUGUGUGCAGUGUAGCCUGCCUUGAAGUGGGGAUUGCGGAUUCGAGAACACGUCCCGACCGGUCGGCCGACCGGAGAGGGGCGAUUGCUCUAUGAAACAAUUUCUGCAAUAGAGGCUAAGUGUGAAAAAUUUGUCAAGGAAAUCUUCUAGACUGACAGUGUCCGGGAUUAAAGUGUGGACUCAGUGGUGAUACAGUUUCAUAGCCGGCGACGCUAUGGUCAGGAAUUUAAAAGGAAACUGCUUGGACGGCGACGACAAGUAUUCUUGAGGGAAAACCUACUGUACCUAAAGCCGCAAAGUUUACCGGAUACCUCACCACCAAUUUUUUUUG